RNAcentral lists this ribosomal RNA (253 nucleotides) under uncultured bacterium. Its description in RNAcentral is "partial 16S ribosomal RNA". It matches the Rfam family "Bacterial small subunit ribosomal RNA", at positions 524 to 776 of the family's 1533-position model. The record is from RNAcentral.
UACGUAGGAGGCAAGCGUUGUCCGGAAUUACUGGGCGUAAAGCGCGUGUAGGUGGUGGGACAAGUCUGCUGUGAAAGCGCCUGGCUUAACCGGGCGAGGUCGGCGGAAACUGUCCGACUCGAGGACGGUAGAGGGUAGUGGAAUUCCCGGUGUAGUGGUGAAAUGCGUAGAUAUCGGGAGGAACACCAGUGGCGAAGGCGACUACCUGGCCUGUUCUUGACGCUGAGGCGCGAAAGCUAGGGGAGCAAACGGG